GCCUCGUUAGCACAGUAGGUAGCGCCUCAGUCUCAUAAUCUGAAGGUCGUGAGUUCGAUCCUCACACGGGGCA
Molecule: non-coding RNA, 73 nt
Organism: Salmo salar (Atlantic salmon)
Lineage: Eukaryota; Metazoa; Chordata; Actinopteri; Salmoniformes; Salmonidae
Source: Rfam